Peromyscus californicus insignis is the source of this 7199-nucleotide long non-coding RNA. RefSeq lists it as uncharacterized. Lineage: Eukaryota; Metazoa; Chordata; Mammalia; Rodentia; Cricetidae. The record is from RefSeq and is a predicted model, not a curated record. The transcript is spliced from 5 exons.
AUCCCCUCCUUGCACGCCCCUCCAUCCCCCCCACCCGCGGCGGGACUGUCUGUGGAUUUCUCUCCUCUCUCUCUCUGUCUCACACACAUUUUAUUUGAAAGCAUUGAAUAAGUAGCUCAGGCUCUCGCUCAGACUUAAGGGGCUGAUGAACUACGCCCCCCGCCGCAGCCAGCUUUCUCUGCACCCCAAUCCAGCCCGCUCCAGACGUCGGGCUGAGAUUCUGCUAUCACGUAGGCAGUGAGGUUGUGGGGGGAGACGCGAUGCUUCCCUUGAAACCAUCGAGACAGAUGUCCGCGGGUUUUAGGGUGUACCCCCAAGGCAAGCACAUCUGGGGCGUCUCCAAGCAGAUGCUCGCCCUCGGGGGCCGACCAGGAGGCUGCAGCUUUGCGAGGCACCACCGCCCAGAACCAAGGUCCGGGUGGAAGGGUGGGCGGCACCGCUCCUCGGGGGAUGCUCUCCCGACUUCGGAGAGGAAGAAAGGAAGAAAUGCACCCUAGGAAAAACGGGCUUCGACUUUUUGUGCCUAUGCUUUCAUGGAAGUCACCAGCUCUCAGGCUGCUUAAGAUGCUGCUCAGAAGCGCACCCAGACAGGCUGUGGCCAGCCUUGCUAAGUCCGCGUGUCCCGGUCGGCGACCACUUAGGGUAACACCGGGUUACACAAUAGGGUUAGGAGAUAUGCUCGCCAUGCUUACCUGUUGGCAAAAGGGAAAAAAAUGCAAAAUCAAAUUUUAAAUUUGGAAAAUAAUACGUGGUGACAUCUUUUAGAACCACGCACGGCUUUCUUCAGACAAAAGCCAAUUUUACCAUCCCGAAACCCAUGGAGCCCUGGAACUUCCGUUCGCAGCACUUUGGCGCCCUCUGGCUGUGUCGGGACUGCUCGCUUGUUCCGCUUCGUCCCAAAAGAACAGGGGGAAUGGAAAGGCAUGUUGUUCUCUUGGUUGGAUCUACCCUCAGAGAGGAGCAUGAAUUCCGAAGGAGCUUGCCCUCCACGGACGGUCGCGAUGACAAAACAUAACCAUAUUUAAAGAGACAAACGCCAAAGUGAAGUAAUGACGCUGAGAUCAGAUUUGCUUGUUUUUCUCUCUGAGACACGGGACACGCAGGGUUUGACUCUGACGGCUUUGGAGAUCACACAUGCUGUACUGCAGCUGGCUGGUAAAGGCACACAGGUCUCCAGGGCUAGACGUGAACUGGCAGAGAUAAUUGAUCAAGUACCACACUCCAACAACCCAUUGUGUAACUGGAGCUCCACAAAUAAAAUGCAGCUUCUGUACUUCAAAGGCUAACUGGAAGGCUCUUGCAGGAUGCGGGUAGUACUCCUUUCUCCACUGUGCAGGGCUCCUGGCACAAGGAAGACAAGGACCCUGGAGAUUUCUGUGGCAGAGCCGGGGGAUAACUUCAGUGACGGGCCUGCCCAGGCCAGGCUCUGACGUCAGAUGACUCAGGAGGGUGAUGAGUCAGAAGAUGCAGCUUUGGGAGCUGAUUCUGCCACGGCUCACCUUUCAUGAGAACAUCAUUUGAUGUCCGUUCUUCAUAGGAAUGAGACUGUGACGGCUAACCUACCUGUCUUGAAGCUUUGAUACGAAGGAUAUACUCCGUAACUCUGAGUGGAGGAAAGAGAGAAGAUUGUGCUGAGGGACAGGCCCAGGGACUCUCUGCAGACAAUAUUCAUCUUCCCUUCCUCUGGAAUUAAGCCCCCUCAUGCUAUUGCAGCUCUGUCUCCACUUGAGCCUAUGCUGGAUGUGACAUCCUGGCAGGAGAAAAGAUAUUUGAUAAAGACACUCCCUUUUACUAUCAAACCAUUGAGUGAAUGGCCCCAAGGGACUGAAAUUUCCCCAGGAGUCUCAUGCUGGCGGGAGGAAAAGGCUGAAGUCUGGUGCCGAAGGAGGAGCUGGUCUCCCUGGAAGAGACAAACCAUCAGACUGCCUUUCAGGAUCUUGAAGCUGAAAUAGUGAUGACCAGGGGCACAUCUUGACAAGACUGGCUUAGAUAGGAAUACCUCAUGUUAAACCUAAACCUCAUGUCAGGACCCUGAAAGAUGAAUGUGAGGAGUCACUAAACCUCCUUCCUCUUCUCAGCAUGGCUGUACUGUAAGCCUCCCGUCUCUGCUUUUCCCUCUUCCCUGUGUUUUCCGUUUGUCCGUUGAGGAUGAAGGGGCAAGCCUACCUUUAAUAACGGGCUCUCAGGGUCAGCAGAGAGUAACAUGUCCAUGACUCAGGCAACAGGAGCAGCAGGGAAGGAGAAGGCAACUGGGAAUGGAUGAAGGAAGGGUUAUCCGUCAGCCCAGGCAAGAAUCCUGGCAACCGUGAGGAGGGAAAACGAUUUCCUGCAACGGCUUCGUGUGGGAGUGUGUCUCAUGCCAGCUCACUGCAUCCCAUACUGUUGAGCAAAGGCUCUCAACAUCUCCCUUGGUCCACAUUUACCUCCCACUGGGCUGGACAUUUAUCUAUUUCCACACUUUUGUAAGUCUAGAUGUCAAAGUCAACUUAUCAGUGAAACACAACAUCAAGUCAUCCUGAAUGCUAACAAAAGACAGUUAGGGAUACUGGAGAACCCCAGCCCCUGAUGGAUGAUAAAGACAGAAUGCAUAAGGAUUGAACUCAGCAUCCAUUUAGAGAUGUUCUCAAAGCCAGCCUGUACCAGUGGACGGUUUGUUCUGACCUUUGGGCAAAGUUAUUUUGUUCCUGUUUUGUUUUGUUUUUCCCACUUUGAGAUAAGUGAGGAGCUGAUGUUAGAGAGCAGGCUUGUUAGAGCAGGACACCGAUGGAAUCCCCUUGUGGGCGCCACCUUUUGGGACCGCAAGCUCCACUGCAGUCCCCAGCCUCAGAUGGCUGUUUCUUCCUCUGAUGCUGAGCUGGUUUCUGGCCAACAGCUACAGGGAAUCCACCCUUGGCAGAGGACUGAGUCACUCAGGUACUGAGAUGGAGCCGCUUUCGAAAUGCCCAUUAUCACCGAGGAUGUGUGAGGCUAAAAGUACAGGCGACAGGUGUGACCUAAUGUAGCUCCAAACAGAAGCUCACGCGCUUCUCUCACUUGACAAGAAGUUUAGAGACAGGUAAACAGGGCUGUGCGGCUCUCUGCAGUCAUCCCUGCCUUAGAAGACAGUGGUGGUGUAAUAACAAAGACCAGAACCUUGGCCACAUCUCCCUGAGAUUAAGUCCUGUGUUCCUGGGUUAUAAAGAUGCCACGAGUUGUCUACCACCCCAGCCUCAGUUCCUCCUCUGUCAACUAGACAGAAUAAUACCUCCCUUGUGGCCUUGCUGUUAGCAUUAAUUGGCUAAGUCAACCAAGUGCUUAUCUAGAACGCGGCAUGGAAUGAGGACUGUAUGAAUGUUAGUUCUUACAAUUUUUAACCUAUUUGAAGUGUCUUCUUAGCAUUAUAAGACAGUUCCCAAGCAGCAACCUUUCAUGGGGCACAUGGCGAUGGGCAUACCCAGAAACAAAGGAAGGGACAGGACAGAACUGGUGAGAAGUAAUGGUGGCCUGAGCUUCCGGGCGUUCCUCUCUUUAACAGGAAAAUAGUCUUCCCCAGAUCUCCAUCCCUCACUGAUGGAUCCUUAGACUGGUUCACAUGGUAAUUCCCAAGCUGACCCUUGGCAUGCGGAUGCAAUUAUCACAGUUUUAGACUCUAUGUGCUAUCUAGUAUGAUAGCCACCAGCCAUAUAAAGUAUUUUCUAUUUUAUAAGAGAGUGUGUGUGUGUGCCUACAAUGAAGGUGUUUGCUUGUUUGUUUGUGUUUGAAGAUGAGUUAUUUUUAAUGAAGCUUUAUUUUUAUUUCAUGUGUGUGGAUGUUUUGCCUGAAUGUAUUCAUGUUCACCACAUGUGUACAGUGUCCAUGGAGGCCAGAAGAGGGUGUUAGAUCCCCUGGAACUGGAGUGACAGAUGCUUAUGAGCUGCCAUAGAGGUGCUGAGAGCUGAACCUGGGUCUUCUGCAUAGCAAGUAUUCUUGUCUGCCUAGUUAUCUCUCUCCAGCCUGAAAUUUCUCUUUUAAACUAAUUAAAAUUAGGUUUUCAGUUGCUCAGUAACAAAGGCCAAAUGUUAAGGGCUCAUUAGCUCAUAAAGCUGGUAUUCACUGUCAGGGAUGUUAGACAUGUAGACUGAUAACUACCAUGACAAAAUGCUGAGGUGAACAGAGCUGCAAUCAGAUUCACUCCUGGGGCUGGAUGAGGACUGAACUCUCCAAUACCACACUUUCCUGUGGUAUCUGGACAAAAUGGAGGAUAUGUUUACAAACCAGAGGAGGAGGUAGCCUGGGAGCUGGGAAUCAAGAAGGAAGAAAUAGCAGAAGAGAAGACCAGUGUUGUAGUUUGUAUCUUAAAUGUCACUCAAAGGUCUGUGUUGCCUUUCCAUGGUACCAUUGGGAGGUGGCAGCACCUUUAAGAGGCAAGGCUGUGUGGGGGGCGAUCUUCAGGUCAUUGACAGUCUGACCUCUGGGGACAGCACAAGAUCCCAGUCUUUUGUCUGUGGUUUGCUUCCUGGUCAGAGGUGAGCAGCUUUUUUCUACCACAAGCUCCCUGUAUGAGGUAUUACCUUGACCCAGCCCGGAAAAAGAACCAGGCUAAAUCAAUUACAGACUGAGACCUCCAAAAGGAUACAUGGAAACAAAGCUUUUCUCUCUCUCUCCGGUAAUUGUAUUGGGUAGUAAAGCCAAUGCCUGUGAGAACAGAGGGUGUGAUGUUUGUGAAAUCAGUGGAUGUGAUGCUUGUGCGGACAUUGAGUACAAUGCUUGUGUGAACAGUGGGUGUGAUGCUGUGAGAACAUUGAGUGUGAUGUUUGUGAAAUCAGUGGGUGUGAUGCUUGUGCGGACAUUGAGUACAAUGCUUGUGUGAACAGUGGGUGUGAUGCUGUGAGAACAUUGAGUGUGAUGUUUGUGAAAUCAGUGGGUGUGAUGCUUGUGCGGACAUUGAGUACAAUGCUUGUGUGAACAGUGGGUGUGAUGCUGUGAGAACAUUGAGUGUGAUGUUUGUGAAAUCAGUGGGUGUGAUGCUUGUGCGGACAUUGAGUACAAUGCUUGUGUGAACAGUGGGUGUGAUGCUGUGAGAACAUUGAGUGUGAUGCUUGUGAGGACAUUGAGUGUGAACACAGCCUGCAAAUAAGAAGGCCAGAGGAGUGGAGGAUAUAUCUCUGGACUUACAUUUACCAAGCUGGCCUCUGCCUCUGCGGCAUUUCUACACAUGAAGCCAGCUGACCUAAUUGGGGGAGGGGGCGGUAAUCAGGAAGAAAUGAUUAAGAUCCCUUCCACCCAAAUCUGUUUUAGUAACUCAAGGGGGAAAGUGAUGCUUUUUCCUGCCUACACCCUGGCCCUAACGUGGUAAUAAGAUUCUGCAAGUUACCAUGUUGACCAUUUUUAUGACUGUCCCAUAAAAUUUAGCAAUAAAACCCACUUUCUGCCUCACAUAAUCACUGUGAGGUACAGUCCAUCAUGUGCCAAAGCCCCAGGGAAGGAUUACAGAUCUGCCCACACAGUGCAGCAAUGGGAACAUCAUCAUCUUACCCAAAGGCCCUCAGCAGCAGUCAAAGUCCCCAGAGCACCUCAAAUGUGUGACAUGUCGGUUGGCGGCGGCGGCUCCGCAGCUGGAACAGCUAUAAUGGGUGAUGUGCAGUUGUGUACAACCGCAUGUGGGGCACAAGUGAAGGUUAGGAUUGUGCCCAGACAUCCUAGUGCCAAAGGAUGGCAGGCACUCCACCACAUUUUCUUAUCACAAAUAUAGAGAAGCAAAUCUUUUGGAGAUGAGUCAGGAUAAUGGUGCUUGAAGGCAUGCACACAUCAAAAUCACCUGGAAAGCUUCAAUGCACAUCUGUCAUUCCAGCAUGUGGCACUCGGGAGCCAGGAUCAGACAGAGGAUUGUGAGUUCAAGGCCAGCCUGGAACACAUAGUGAGUUCCAGGCUAACCUGGAUUACAUAGAAAACUGUGUCUCCAAAAUAAAAGGAAAGACUACUGAACAGUCAGGAUAUGACAGCAGAUUGUUCCUGCCAGCUCAGGAGCACUGCUUUGAAUGAAUCUCUUCCCAACUCCAUAUUUCAAAAACAUCAUUUGGAAUCUUGAAGUCAGACCUGCAAGAGAACUUAAACCAAUCAGAACUAUAUGGCGUUUGUUCCCGGAAGAACUAGUUACUGAGCUUUUAUCAGAACACCACCAGCUGCUCCCCAUCCUCAGUGUCUCUGACUCAAUAAAUCUUACAUGGAGAUUUUCAUUUCUAUGAAGUUGCUGGGCAAUACUGAUUCUGCUAUUUUGGAAACCACAUCUUGAAAAUCACUUGGAAGAACGUUUGUCAGAACCUUGAGUCAGAGAAUUGAUUCUUCUCUCCUAACUAAAUUGUGAGCCACCAUCAACAAGGAGCAUGCUAAAUGCGGCAGGGGGGAGGGGGAGUUGUCCAAGAAUGUUACAGAUGAUCAGAUAUUGUAGCAUGAAUCUUAAAAGUUUUUAUUAAUAAGAUCAAACCUGAGGCCAGUUAUUGGGGUGAAAUGCUGGAUGGUCAGAGAGACAGAACAAGCCACAGCUAACCUCACCUGGCCAACUUCUCAGCUGGUCUUGUUUCCUCAGACUGGAAGCCUCUGUGUCCUCAUAUCUGAAUAGCUCUCAGCUGAGCUGUGCUGCUAGAAGCCUGAAAGCUUAACCAGCCAAAUGCCUAACCAGCCAAAUGCUGCUAGUUUCUGGUCCUCACGCCUUAUAUACCUUUCUGCUUUCUACUACCACUCCCUGGGAUUAAAGGCUCGCUUUCUGGGAUUAAAGGCAUGUGUCACCAUGCCUGGCCAUUUCCAAUGUGGCCUUGAACUCACAGAGAUCCAGAGGGAUUUCUACUUCUGGAGUGCUAGGAUUAAAGGCGUGUGUGCCACCAUUUUCUAGCCUUUGUAUCUAGUGGCUGUUCUGUCUCUGACCACAGAUAAGUUUAUUAGGGUGUACAACAUUUUGGGGGACAUAAUACCACCACAAGAUAUCAAAUUGAUGCUACUAGGAGCUAAGGCAUACGGAAUACUGACUAAUAGGCCAGCUACUGUUGGAUGCACUCUGGGCAUUGACUCAUCGAACCUCACAGCAUCUCUGGACUGCAGGUCCUCUGAUAUAGUUUCGGCUAAAGCAAAGAGCAGUUCCAUGACUGACCUGUCCAAGUUUGUGAGGAGAGUUGUCAAAAUACAAACAUAGGCACUGUAGUUCCAAGACCAAUAAAUUUAACCACUGCACCACAAAUCACAGAUGA